CAGCCGCCACGGUAAUGCGAAGGGGGCUAGCGUUGCUCGGAAUGACUGGGCGUAAAGGGCGCGUAGGCGGUUUGUACAGUUGGAUGUGAAAUUCCUGGGCUUAACCUGGGGGCUGCAUUCAAUACGUGCAGGCUUGAGUGGGGAAGAGGGUCGUGGAAUUCCCAGUGUAGAGGUGAAAUUCGUAGAUAUUGGGAAGAACACCGGUGGCGAAGGCGGCGACCUGGUCCUUGACUGACGCUGAGGCGCGAAAGCGUGGGGAGCAAACAGGAUUAGAUACCCCCGUAGUCCCUGUCUCUUAUAC
This 301-nucleotide ribosomal RNA is filed under the name uncultured bacterium. RNAcentral describes it as "partial 16S ribosomal RNA". It matches the Rfam family "Bacterial small subunit ribosomal RNA", at positions 509 to 807 of the family's 1533-position model. The record is from RNAcentral.